This 484-nucleotide ribosomal RNA is filed under the name uncultured bacterium. RNAcentral's name for it is "partial 16S ribosomal RNA". It matches the Rfam family "Bacterial small subunit ribosomal RNA", at positions 29 to 507 of the family's 1533-position model. The record is from RNAcentral.
AUUGAACGCUGGCGGCAUGCUUUACACAUGCAAGUCGAACGGCAGCGCGGGCUUCGGCCUGGCGGCGAGUGGCGAACGGGUGAGUAAUGCAUCGGAACGUGCCCAGUAGUGGGGGAUAGCCCGGCGAAAGCCGGAUUAAUACCGCAUACGACCUGAGGGUGAAAGCGGGGGACCGAAAGGCCUCGCGCUAUUGGAGCGGCCGAUGUCGGAUUAGCUAGUUGGUGGGGUAAAGGCUUACCAAGGCGACGAUCCGUAGCUGGUCUGAGAGGACGACCAGCCACACUGGAACUGAGACACGGCCCAGACUCCUACGGGAGGCAGCAGUGGGGAAUUUUGGACAAUGGGGGCAACCCUGAUCCAGCCAUGCCGCGUGCGUGAAGAAGGCCUUCGGGUUGUAAACCGCUUUUGUUCGGGAAGAAAACCUCUGGGCUAAUACCCCGGGGUGAUGACGGUACCGGAAGAAUAAGCACCGGCUAACUACGUG